This 496-nucleotide ribosomal RNA is filed under the name uncultured bacterium. RNAcentral describes it as "partial 16S ribosomal RNA". It matches the Rfam family "Bacterial small subunit ribosomal RNA", at positions 29 to 507 of the family's 1533-position model. The record is from RNAcentral.
AUGAACGCUGGCGGCGUGCCUAAUCCAUGCCAGUCGAGCGAACGGACGAGAAGCUUGCUUCUCUGAUGUUAGCGGCGGACGGGUGAGUAACACGUGGAUAACCUACCUAUAAGACUGGGAUAACUUCGGGAAACCGGAGCUAAUACCGGAUAAUAUUUUGAACCGCAUGGUUCAAAAGUGAAAGACGGUCUUGCUGUCACUUAUAGAUGGAUCCGCGCUGCAUUAGCUAGUUGGUAAGGUAACGGCUUACCAAGGCAACGAUGCAUAGCCGACCUGAGAGGGUGAUCGGCCACACUGGAACUGAGACACGGUCCAGACUCCUACGGGAGGCAGCAGUAGGGAAUCUUCCGCAAUGGGCGAAAGCCUGACGGAGCAACGCCGCGUGAGUGAUGAAGGUCUUCGGAUCGUAAAACUCUGUUAUUAGGGAAGAACAUAUGUGUAAGUAACUGUGCACAUCUUGACGGUACCUAAUCAGAAAGCCACGGCUAACUACGUG